GGCCUGGUGGCCUAAUGGUAAGGCGUUGCUUUCCGGUGUCUUGUCCAAAGAGUCGAGUGUGGCAAAGAUUGCGGGUUCGAGUCCCGUCUGGGUCG
Molecule: non-coding RNA, 95 nt
Organism: Tricladium varicosporioides
Lineage: Eukaryota; Fungi; Ascomycota; Leotiomycetes; Helotiales; Tricladiaceae
Source: the annotation of a GenBank genome assembly